GGCAGCAGUGAGCCAUGAUUGCACCACUGCACUCCAGCCUGGGCAACAGGAGCAAAACUCCAUCUCAAAGAAAAAGAGUCUGACAUCCCCAAGUACUGCAGAGGAAGAGGCUACACGGCACUCAUACACAGCUGGUGGAAAUGUCAGUUUCACCUCCACUUCUGGAAAGCGCCCCUCUUGGGGACACAGGGCCUGUCGGAUUCACGUCUGUGUCUCCAGGAUGUCUCACAGGGCCUGGCACGUGGUAGGUGGCACCUCCAGGACCGCUGGUCAAGAUACCCUCCCCACAGCCAUUGGUCAGGGGUGGCCGUGAGACUCAAGACAGCACAUGUGGCCGGGUGCAAUCGCUCACGCCUGUAAUCCCAGGACUUUGGAACGCUGAGGCAGGCAGAUCACCUGGGAUCAGGA
This 408-nucleotide long non-coding RNA is filed under the name Homo sapiens (human). RNAcentral's name for it is "HSALNT0363362". Lineage: Eukaryota; Metazoa; Chordata; Mammalia; Primates; Hominidae. The record is from RNAcentral.